GAGAUGGUAUCCCUUCUGUGUAUUUUAACAACGUUCCCGAGGGAAUUUAUAUAGCAUCGGUAGGUAUUGAUGAAACCGUUUGUCCAGAUUGUGCGUAUUUCAGAUCGAGAAAUAACAUCACUGUUCGUGCUAUGCCCACUCCCGCCCCCUCAACAGCACAUAGUACCCGUCCUAGAGACCCUGAGGAGACCUCAAAUACAUCAGGAUCCCCACCCCAUUUGGCAGCGCUGACAGGAGCUCUGGGAGUAAUCCUUGGGGUUAUUCUCAUCACGGUCCUCAUAACCCGCACGCGUAGAAGGAGCUCUUUACGUCCUUCCGAACAAAGUGGUGAUGAGAAAGAGACUGGAGGAGAUACUUUGGAAAGAUCACCCAUGCUUCAUCGGGAUGACAUGC
Molecule: long non-coding RNA, 393 nt
Organism: Strongylocentrotus purpuratus (purple sea urchin)
Lineage: Eukaryota; Metazoa; Echinodermata; Echinoidea; Camarodonta; Strongylocentrotidae
Exons: 3
Source: RefSeq, a predicted model, not a curated record